This 723-nucleotide ribosomal RNA is filed under the name uncultured bacterium. Its description in RNAcentral is "bacterial SSU rRNA". It matches the Rfam family "Bacterial small subunit ribosomal RNA", at positions 103 to 843 of the family's 1533-position model. The record is from RNAcentral.
CGGGUGAGUAACGCGUGGGUAACCUGCCUCAUACAGGGGGAUAGCAGCUGGAAACGGCUGGUAAUACCGCAUAAGCGCACGGUAUCGCAUGAUACAGUGUGAAAAACUCCGGUGGUAUGAGAUGGACCCGCGUCUGAUUAGCUAGUUGGUGAGGUAACGGCCCACCAAGGCGACGAUCAGUAGCCGACCUGAGAGGGUGACCGGCCACAUUGGGACUGAGACACGGCCCAGACUCCUACGGGAGGCAGCAGUGGGGAAUAUUGCACAAUGGAGGAAACUCUGAUGCAGCGACGCCGCGUGAGUGAAGAAGUAGUUCGCUAUGUAAAGCUCUAUCAGCAGGGAAGAUAGUGACGGUACCUGACUAAGAAGCUCCGGCUAAAUGCGUGCCAGCAGCCGCGGUAAUACGUAUGGAGCAAGCGUUAUCCGGAUUUACUGGGUGUAAAGGGAGUGUAGGUGGCCAGGCAAGUCAGAAGUGAAAGCCCGGGGCUCAACCCCGGGACUGCUUUUGAAACUGCAGGGCUAGAGUGCAGGAGGGGCAAGUGGAAUUCCUAGUGUAGCGGUGAAAUGCGUAGAUAUUAGGAGGAACACCAGUGGCGAAGGCGGCUUGCUGGACUGUAACUGACACUGAGGCUCGAAAGCGUGGGGAGCAAACAGGAUUAGAUACCCUGGUAGUCCACGCCGUAAACGAUGAUUGCUAGGUGUAGGUGGGUAUGGACCCAUCGG